UACGAAGGGACCUAGCGUAGUUCGGAAUUACUGGGCUUAAAGAGUUCGUAGGUGGUUGAAAAAGUUGGUGGUGAAAUCCCAGAGCUUAACUCUGGAACUGCCAUCAAAACUUUUCAGCUAGAGUAUGAUAGAGGAAAGCAGAAUUUCUAGUGUAGAGGUGAAAUUCGUAGAUAUUAGAAAGAAUACCAAUUGCGAAGGCAGCUUUCUGGAUCAUUACUGACACUGAGGAACGAAGGCAUGGGUAGCGAAGAGGAUUAGAUACCCUCGUAGUCCAUGCCGUAAACGAUGUGUGUUAGACGUUGGAAAUUUAUUUUCAGUGUCGCAGCGAAAGCGAUAAACACACCGCCUGGGGAGUACGACCGCAAGGUUAAAACUCAAAUGAAUUGACGGGGACCCGCACAAGUAGUGGAGCAUGUGGUUUAAUUCGAAGAUACGCGCAGAACCUUACCAACACUUGACAUGUUCGUCGCGACUCUAAGAGAUUAGAGUUUUCGGUUCGGCCGGACGAAACACAGGUGCUGCAUGGCUGUCGUCAGCUCGUGUCGUGAGAUGUUGGGUUAAGUCCCGCAACGAGCGCAACCCUCACUUUUAGUUGCCAUCGCUAAGUUGGGCACUCUGAAAGAACUGCCAGUGAUAAGCUGGAGGAAGGUGGGGAUGACGUCAAGUCCUCAUGGCCCUUACGUGUUGGGCUACACACGUGCUACAAUGGUAUCUACAACAGGAAGCAAGACUGCGAAGUUAAGCAAAUCCUUAAAAGAUACCUCAGUUCGGAUUGCACUCUGCAACUCGAGUGCAUGAAGCUGGAAUUACUAGUAAUCGUGGAUCAGCGUGCCACGGUGAAUGCGUUCCCGGGUCU
Molecule: ribosomal RNA, 856 nt
Filed under: uncultured bacterium
Lineage: Bacteria
Description: SSU rRNA
Rfam family: Bacterial small subunit ribosomal RNA
Source: RNAcentral